GGAAAUAAUUCUUUAGGGUCAAGGAAGGGUACUCCUGUUCGUAGAGGAUGUGGUUUCAGUGGAAAAUUUUAUUUAAACAGAAAUGAAAAGUUAUUUAACAAGACUAUUCGAGGUAGCAGUGAAAGGUUCAAGGCUACUGGGAAUUCACAUGUGCAAUUUUUGGACUUAAUGAAUUCCAUGGUUAAGCUUAUUAAUUCUCAAAUUGAAGUGGCAGGUAAAAUCAGCG
RNAcentral lists this long non-coding RNA (226 nucleotides) under Gossypium barbadense (sea-island cotton). RNAcentral describes it as "long non-coding RNA (GBAR_LNC006363)". Lineage: Eukaryota; Viridiplantae; Streptophyta; Magnoliopsida; Malvales; Malvaceae. The record is from RNAcentral.